GCGAAACUGCGAAUGGCUCAUUAAAUCAGUUAUUGUUCAUUUGAUAGCACCUUACUACAUGGAUAACCGUGGUAAUUCUAGAGCUAAUACAUGCUAGAAACCCCGACUAACGAAGGGGUGUAUUUAUUAGAUUCAAAACCAAUGCCCUUCGGGGCUCCUUGGUGAUUCAUAAUAACUUCUCGGAUCGCAUGGCCUUGCGCCGGCGAUGGUUCAUUCAAAUUUCUGCCCUAUCAACUUUCGAUGGCUGGGUCUUGGCCAGCCAUGGUGACAACGGGUAACGGAGGGUUAGGGCUCGACCCCGGAGAAGGAGCCUGAGAGACGGCUACUACAUCCAAGGAAGGCAGCAGGCGCGCAAAUUACCCAAUCCCAAUUCGGGGAGGUAGUGACAAUACAUACUGAUACAGGGCUCUUUUGGGUCUUGUAAUUGGAAUGAGUACAAUUUAAAUCCCUUAACGAGGAACAAUUGGAGGGCAAGUCUGGUGCCAGCAGCCGCGGUAAUUCCAGCUCCAAUAGCGUAUAUUAAAGUUGUUGAGGUUAAAAAGCUCGUAGUUGAACCUUGGGCCUGGCUGGCCGGUCCGCCUCACCGCGUGCACUGGUCCGGCCGGGUCUUUCCCUCUGGGGAGCCGCAUGCCCUUUACUGGGUGUGCCGGCGAACCAGGACUUUUACUCUGAAUAAAUCAGAUCGCUUAAAGAAGGCCUAUGCUUGAAUGUUCUAGCAUGGAAUAAUAGAAUAGGACGUGGUGGUUCUAUUUUGUUGGUUUCUAGGACCGCCGUAAUGAUUAAUAGGGACAGUCGGGGGCAUCAGUAUUCAAUUGUCAGAGGUGAAAUUCUUGGAUUUAUUGAAGACUAACUACUGCGAAAGCAUUUGCCAGAGGAUGUUUUCAUUAAUCAGGAACGAAAGUUAGGGGAAUCGAAGACGAUCAGAUACCGUCGUAGUCUUAACCAUAAACUAUGCCGAUUAGGGAUCGGACGGUGUUAUUAUUUGACCCGUUCGGCACCUUACGAAAAAUCAA
RNAcentral lists this ribosomal RNA (1013 nucleotides) under Polystigma sp. RNAcentral's name for it is "SSU rRNA". It matches the Rfam family "Eukaryotic small subunit ribosomal RNA", at positions 81 to 1101 of the family's 1831-position model. Lineage: Eukaryota; Fungi; Ascomycota; Sordariomycetes; Phyllachorales; Phyllachoraceae. The record is from RNAcentral.